Molecule: ribosomal RNA, 511 nt
Filed under: uncultured bacterium
Lineage: Bacteria
Description: bacterial SSU rRNA
Rfam family: Bacterial small subunit ribosomal RNA
Source: RNAcentral
UCUGGCUCAGAGCGAACGUUAGCGGCGGGCCUAACACAUGCAAGUCGAACGCGAAAGGUCUUCGGACUGAGUAGAGUGGCGCACGGGUGAGUAACACGUAGGUAAUCUACCCUUUGGCGGGGGAUAACGUUCCGAAAGGAGCGCUAAUACCGCAUAAGACCACGGAGUCUCCGGACGCUGUGGGAAAAGGUGGCCUCUUCUUGAAAGCUACCACCGAAGGAUGAGCCUGCGUCCCAUCAGCUAGUUGGUAAGGUAAUGGCUUACCAAGGCGAAGACGGGUAGCUGGUUUGAGAGAAUGAUCAGCCACACUGGCACUGGAACACGGGCCAGACUCCUACGGGAGGCAGCAGUGAGGAAUAUUGGGCGAUGGGCGAAAGCCUGACCCAGCCACGCCGCGUGAGUGAUGAAGGCCCUCGGGUCGUAAAGCUCUGUGGAGAGGGACGAAAACCCUGGUUUCAAAUAGGCUCCAGGCUUGACGGUACCUCUUUAGCAAGCACCGGCUAACUCUGUG